UCGGAUUUUAAGAGUAAGUUUUUGUUAAUUGUUUUGAUUUUUAAUAUAAUUUGAUAUUUUUCAGACCAAAAUUCUUUAUAAUGAAGAGGGUAUAUACAAGUUCACUUCAUUGAAUAAAAAAUAUUGCCAAAAUGCAGGAAGCAAUUUCCUUUAAGUAAUUUGGAAAGCAAAACAAACAAGGCGCUGAUUUGCUGAUGCUACCCAUUGUUUUUGUAUGUACUUCUCAAUGGCAAGAGCUGCCGCAGGCGUUGACGGCGGAGGUGUCACCAUCAAAACCAUUAGAAACAACACCACCAAGUCAAUGAUGCAAGUGGAAGUUUUGCCAUGUAAUAGUCGACCGCUGACGCCCUUCUCCAUCAAUUGUGUAAGUACGUAUCGAAACAUUCAUAUCGUAGUCAACUAGCUUAAUCUUUAU
Molecule: long non-coding RNA, 415 nt
Organism: Eupeodes corollae
Lineage: Eukaryota; Metazoa; Arthropoda; Insecta; Diptera; Syrphidae
Exons: 3
Source: RefSeq, a predicted model, not a curated record